This 402-nucleotide ribosomal RNA is filed under the name bacterium. Its description in RNAcentral is "partial 16S ribosomal RNA". It matches the Rfam family "Bacterial small subunit ribosomal RNA", at positions 355 to 776 of the family's 1533-position model. The record is from RNAcentral.
UGGGGAAUUUUGCACAAUGGGGGAAACCCUGAUGCAGCGACGCCGCGUGAUUUAGAAGGCCUUCGGGUUGUAAAAAUCUUUUCUAUGGGAAGAAAAUGACAGUACCAUAGGAAUAAGGACCGGCUAAUUACGUGCCAGCAGCCGCGGUAAUACGUAAGGUCCGAGCGUUGUCCAGAAUCAUUGGGCGUAAAGGGUACGUAGGCGGGUAAGCAAGUUAGAAGUGAAAUCCUAUAGCUCAACUAUAGUAAGCUUUUAAAACUGCUCAUCUUGAGGUAUGGAAGGGAAAGUGGAAUUCCUAGUGUAGCGGUGAAAUGCGCAGAUAUUAGGAGGAAUACCGGUGGCGAAGGCGACUUUCUGGCCAUAACCUGACGCUGAGGUACGAAAGCGUGGGUAGCAAACAGG